CUAGGAAGUGCCUGGCACGUAUUGAAGGUAUAAAUGAAUGAGUGAGUGAAUGUAUUAGCCCCGUGCCUGGCACAUAGGAAGGGCUAGCCUGGCCUAAGCUCUCUUGUCUUGGCUACCAAAUCCGCUCCCAACGCACCCAGAGGUGGCAAUCAGCUCUGCGGAAGGACCAGAUGCAGGUACUGAGAAUGGCCACCAGAGGGCGCUAUACGCACCGGUAACGGCACCCUGCCGCACAGGCUGAGUCUGCGGCAGCCUGGGGACCUUAGAACCCCCCUGCCGGCCCGCCCCCCCCCCCCCCCCCCCCCCCCCCCCCCCGCUCAAGCCACCCACCCCCAGCACGGGAGAGAUGGGAAGUAGACAUUCCGAACCAACACCUGCUCCUGGCAUAUCUGCUGAGGGCAUCUUGAAAAGAGGCAGAGGUCGCCGUUAGUGUAUGUUAUAAAACACAUACACACACUGCUUUGAGACACCAUUGCCAUGGUCCACGGGAUGAGGCACGGCUUCUAAGCCUGUACUCCAGAGUCUCCGUUUCCCAGCUUCAUCUCCGCCUCCGCCUUGCCGGGACCUCAGGCUCCAGCCAAAGAAGCAUUGCUCCUCUCCAGGAGCUGUUCGUAUGA
Molecule: long non-coding RNA, 617 nt
Filed under: Mustela putorius furo (domestic ferret)
Lineage: Eukaryota; Metazoa; Chordata; Mammalia; Carnivora; Mustelidae
Description: lncRNA (ENSMPUG00000029696.1)
Source: RNAcentral